Non-coding RNA from Lonchura striata (white-rumped munia), 209 nucleotides. The record is from RefSeq and is a predicted model, not a curated record. Lineage: Eukaryota; Metazoa; Chordata; Aves; Passeriformes; Estrildidae.
GAGCUUUCAUGCUGAGAUUUGCAAGAAGAUACAGUUAUCAGAAGAGCCUCAGGAAUGACAGAAGGAGGAACUGAGAUGGACUUGCUGUUUCUGUCACAACAGUGAUGGCAGAGUGGUAAACAAAGGAGUCCAAGGAUGAGUACUGAAAGACGCAUGCAGAGUACAAAAUUCAUUUCUGGGAAGAAAUAAAAGAAGAAAAACAACACUAC